AGAGUUUGAUCAUGGCUCAGGACGAACGCUGGCGGCGUGCUUAACACAUGCAAGUCGAGCGGAAAGGCCCUUCGGGGUACUCGAGCGGCGAACGGGUGAGUAACACGUGAGCAACCUGCCCUUAGCUUUGGGAUAACCCUCGGAAACGGGGGCUAAUACCGAAUGUUCACUUCCUGUCGCAUGGUGGGGGGUGGAAAGUUUUUUCGGCUAGGGAUGGGCUCGCGGCCUAUCAGCUUGUUGGUGGGGUGAUGGCCUACCAAGGCGACGACGGGUAGCCGGCCUGAGAGGGCGACCGGCCACACUGGGACUGAGACACGGCCCAGACUCCUACGGGAGGCAGCAGUGGGGAAUAUUGCACAAUGGGCGCAAGCCUGAUGCAGCGACGCCGCGUGAGGGAUGACGGCCUUCGGGUUGUAAACCUCUUUCAGCAGGGACGAAGGGUGACUGACGGUACCUGCAGAAGAAGCGCCGGCCAACUACGUGCCAGCAGCCGCGGUAAGACGUAGGGCGCGAGCGUUGUCCGGAUUUAUUGGGCGUAAAGAGCUCGUAGGCGGCUUGUCGCGUCGACUGUGAAAACCCGUGGCUCAACCAUGUGGUCUGCAGUCGAUACGGGCAGGCUAGAAUUCGGUAGGGGAGACUGGAAUUCCUGGUGUAGCGGUGAAAUGCGCAGAUAUCAGGAGGAACACCGGUGGCGAAGGCGGGUCUCUGGGCCGAUAUUGACGCUGAGGAGCGAAAGCGUGGGGAGCGAACAGGAUUAGAUACCCCAGUAGUCC
Molecule: ribosomal RNA, 773 nt
Filed under: uncultured bacterium
Lineage: Bacteria
Description: bacterial SSU rRNA
Rfam family: Bacterial small subunit ribosomal RNA
Source: RNAcentral